GCCCCCGUAGCUCAGUGGUAGAGCAGCGGCCUUUUAAGCCGAGUGUCGGAGGUCCGAUCCCUCCCGGGGGCA
This 72-nucleotide transfer RNA is filed under the name bacterium. Its description in RNAcentral is "tRNA-Lys". It matches the Rfam family "tRNA". Rfam says of the family: Transfer RNA (tRNA) molecules are approximately 80 nucleotides in length. Their secondary structure includes four short double-helical elements and three loops (D, anti-codon, and T loops). The record is from RNAcentral.